Flavobacterium fryxellicola is the source of this 79-nucleotide non-coding RNA. NCBI's taxonomy places the organism in Bacteria, Pseudomonadati, Bacteroidota, Flavobacteriia, Flavobacteriales, Flavobacteriaceae. The record is from Rfam.
CAGAAGCGUGAGGGAUUGCAAUGGAAAUCCUUUAUGGAACGCAGUGGAGUAAAGAUUGAAGUGAAAAGCCCGACCCGCA